Long non-coding RNA from Hippocampus zosterae (dwarf seahorse), 377 nucleotides. RefSeq lists it as uncharacterized. NCBI's taxonomy places the organism in Eukaryota, Metazoa, Chordata, Actinopteri, Syngnathiformes, Syngnathidae. The record is from RefSeq and is a predicted model, not a curated record. The transcript has 2 exons.
UCUUGUUUAAAGGUCAGUAAUGGCGCAGACCACGUCACAGUGGAGCAUUCAGUGACUUUAUGAGGAGGCUGACCACACAAGUCUGAAUUGUCCAUCAGAGUUCAGUCAGGGUAAUUGAAUAUUAGCCGUACAACCCCUCAACCUCCUGAACUCAAGGCUUAUAGUGUAGAAAGGAAUCGAGCAGGGAAGAGCAGGGUGGACAGAUGAGGUAAUAUGACAUGACCGAAAACAUGAUGCAAGGGCAGAGUCAUUGGCCCAUGCAGCGUCCUUCCGAAUGCUCUCAAACAUUGUAAAGUUGUUGUUUUUUUGGAGAUGACAAAUUUGCAACUUCAGCAGGCGGUAAAUGGUGCCUAUUCUGUAACAGAAGCACUUUAGGA